AUGCUAUUUGUUCUCUACCCUGCCCCUGUCACACCCUGGUCUUUGCCCACGUUUCAGGAGAAGGCUCCCAAAGAACCGGUCAAUGAGUGGUCAUUGAAGAUAAGAAAGAAAAUGAGAGUUGUGGACAGGCAAAUAAGAGAUAUCCAAAGAGGAAAAGAAAAAGUGAAAUGGUCUGUAAAAGAUGCUGCCAAGAAGGGCCAGAAGGAUGUCUGUGUAUUUCUGGCCAAGGAGAUGUUCAGGUCAAGGAAGGCUGUGAGCAAGCUGUAUGCAUCCAAAGCACACAUGAACUCAGUGCUGAUGGGGAUGAAGAACCAGAUCGCUGUCUUGCAAGUGGCUGGUUCCCUGUAGAAGAGCACAGAAUUGAUGAAGGCCAUGCAACGUCUUGUGAACAUUCCAGAAAUUCAGGCCACCAUGAGGGAGUUGUCCAAAGAAAUGAUGAAGGCUGGGAUCAUAGAGGAGAUGUUAGAGGACACUUUUGAAAGCAUGGACAAUCAGGAAGAAAUGGAGGAAGAAGCAGAAAUGGAAAUUGACAGAAUUCUGUUUGAAAUUACAGAAGGGGCCUUGGGCACAGCACCCAGUGAAGUGACCGAUGCCCUUCCAGAGGCAGAACCUUCAGGAGUGAUGGCCACCUCAGACGAUGAGAAGGAGGAAGAGGCUCUGGAGGCCAUGCAGUCCUGGCUGGCCACACUGCACAGUUAGGGGCUGCCUACCCCACUGGGUGUGCUCACAUUCCGCUCAAGAGCUGCCAUUUUAUGUAUCUCUUGCACUACAUCUCUGUUGUGAGGACUACCAUUUUGGAGAAGGUUCUGUUUGUCUCUUUUCACUCCCUGCCCAGGUUUUGGGAUCACAAAGGGAUUGUUCUUGUAAAGGUGGCAUAAAUAAAUGCAUCACUUUUAGGAGUAUAGACAGAAAUAUCUUAUUGUGGGGAAGGGAAAGAAAUCCAUUUGCUCAUGAAACACUUCUGAAAAUACAGGUGAUUGCUUGAAUGUCAAAAACUCUACUUUUGUCUAUAAAACACUAUAUAAAUGAAUUUUAAUAAAUUUUUGCUUUAGCACUUGGC
Chlorocebus sabaeus (green monkey) is the source of this 1060-nucleotide non-coding RNA. Lineage: Eukaryota; Metazoa; Chordata; Mammalia; Primates; Cercopithecidae. The record is from RefSeq and is a predicted model, not a curated record.